UACAGAGGUCUCAAGCGUUGUUCGGAUUCAUUGGGCGUAAAGGGUGCGUAGGCGGCGCGGUAAGUCGGGUGUGAAAUCUUGGAGCUUAACUCCGAAACUGCAUUCGAUACUGCCGUGCUUGAGGACUGGAGAGGAGACUGGAAUUCAUGGUGUAGCAGUGAAAUGCGUAGAGAUCAUGAGGAAGACCAGUGGCGAAGGCGGGUCUCUGGACAGUUCCUGACACUGAGACACGAAGGCCAGGGGAGCAAACGGG
RNAcentral lists this ribosomal RNA (253 nucleotides) under uncultured bacterium. RNAcentral describes it as "partial 16S ribosomal RNA". It matches the Rfam family "Bacterial small subunit ribosomal RNA", at positions 524 to 776 of the family's 1533-position model. The record is from RNAcentral.